GAGGAGGGAGGCCCCAGACAAGGGAAGCCAGAGACACUGAGAUCCAGGAGGACUCCCAAGGUGUGUUGGAGCUGCAUGGACUGAGAAGCCUGGAGAUGCCAGGGUCACUGCACCAGGGACAGGGAUAUUAGAUAUUAACACAACUAACAAAUUGAUGCCAUGGCCAAGAGUUCCUUGAAGCCAGAAACUGGAAAACCUGAAUUGUUUGACAAUAUGCAAGGAUAGCAAGCACCACGACACAGAGGUUGAUCCAAGGACCACUGAGCUCGAUGGAAACCGAUUCUGCUUCCAUUGAAGUCUAUGGCAAAAUUCCUACAAACUUUAGUAAUGCAGGAUCAGGCUCUGUAUACCAGUACACACAGCACUACUGAAAUGGACAUCUUGGAUAGGAGGUCUGCAAUCAAUUAGUGUACAGCACACUGCAUGAAAAGGAACAGGGGAGGGUAAGAUGUACCUCAGCAGGAACAGCCUUAUGGAUCAGGCUCAAGGUCAGGAAUGGAUGCAUAUGUUUAAGUACACAAGGGACUGGUCCCACUGAAGUCAAUGUGACUACUCAUGUGAGGGGCAGAUUUUCAAAGGCACAAAAAAGAGUUGGAUGCCGAACUUCUGGGUUUUUUUUGUUUUAAAUGUGUCUUUGAAAUCUCCCCCUAAACUGCUUUGCUAGAUCAGGGUCUUGGAUCCAAGUCUUGUAUAUGUGUAAUUACACUAACAUCCACGGAGUUACUACUAAUUUACAGCGGUGUAAGUAAAAGGAGAAUCUGUCUCUUUGAUGUUGAAAUGGGUUUCAUUACUUUGUUUUUCAUAUCAUUUUCUAUACAUUUCUACAGAAAUUAAACAUUAGAAAAUCUAUUGGUUAACAAAAAUACGUAAAGGCAAAAACUCAGAGCAAACAUGGCCAAUUCAAUAGUCAAGGAGCCAAUCUCUCAAAGUUAUCCAGCUAGUGACAAAAUGCAAGAGUCCCUCAAAAGAGCGUUUCUCAGAUGUGUAGGUCAGUGGGAUCCUCCAGUCAGGACUCCAGUUACGGCUCAGUAUGAUUUAAGCCUACAUCUUGCUGAUGUAGCUAUUUCAAAAAGAAACACUUUAUUUCUGCACCCUCUAAUGAAAUAUGCUCACCUGCCAUGUCAAAUCGAUGCUCAGAAAAACAGUGCCUACAACUUACUGUAAAUGCAAAUAAAAAUCACAAAGUAGUACUCAAAGUACAAACAGGAGCAGUGACAUCAGAUAUAAAUGAGGAUAUAUGGGUGUGAGAAAUAUAUUAUAUACAGCAGGAGCCCCCAAUCUAGUGUGGCUGUGGGUCCCUUAGAUGUGUCUGAACUGGACCUGUUAGAUAUUUAGAAAUUACCAAAUCUCUAUGUAUUCUAUGAGAGGUAGUGUUUGAGUUUAAAUUGUUAGAAAAAUCUAAAUUAACAAAUAAAACAGAAUUGAGCAGUGCACUAAGAAAUGAUUAGUUGUAAUUACACACAUUAAUGUGUUCCCCUAUCUCAUUUCAAUCUCAAGACAAACAUUCAACAUAAACCU
This is a long non-coding RNA of Chelonia mydas (Green sea turtle), 1518 nucleotides long. RefSeq lists it as uncharacterized. Lineage: Eukaryota; Metazoa; Chordata; Testudines; Cheloniidae. The transcript has 4 exons. The record is from RefSeq and is a predicted model, not a curated record.